GGGGUGUGAAGUGUAAAGGAUGUCUGGCUAGUAAUUAAAAGCAUUGGGUCGAGGUUUACCCUGGAAAGCGUUGAAGCGGUUGAAGAAGAAAUUGCAUAGAAAAGUACCAGAGAUGUAUUAGGGUUGGUGUAUAGUAACAUCAUGAAAUGGUUUUGUCAUGGCACAAAGGUUUGGCAUUAUGGCAUCAAGAAUAUGAAUUAUUUUGGAAUGCACUCGAAGUACUUGGAGGACCACAUGAAGAAUCAAUAGAAAAGUAGACUUAGAGUAGGUUUAAGAUUAGUUUGACUUUUGGUCAACAGUUGAUCAAAGGUCAACCUUAGGUCAAAAAAAAUUUUGUGUGUGUAAUUUGUACUUUCCCUUUUGUAAUGAAAUUUUGAUACUUGUAAUAUGAAUCUUGGCCUUUGAAAUGUACUUGUGACUUAUUUUUCAAGCAAAGUGCUUUUCCCUCCAAA
Long non-coding RNA from Lathyrus oleraceus (garden pea), 452 nucleotides. RefSeq lists it as uncharacterized. NCBI's taxonomy places the organism in Eukaryota, Viridiplantae, Streptophyta, Magnoliopsida, Fabales, Fabaceae. The record is from RefSeq and is a predicted model, not a curated record. The transcript has 2 exons.